RNAcentral lists this non-coding RNA (21 nucleotides) under Caenorhabditis elegans. The record is from RNAcentral. Lineage: Eukaryota; Metazoa; Nematoda; Chromadorea; Rhabditida; Rhabditidae.
CGACAGGCAAGCACAUGACUU